Molecule: ribosomal RNA, 502 nt
Filed under: uncultured bacterium
Lineage: Bacteria
Description: partial 16S ribosomal RNA
Rfam family: Bacterial small subunit ribosomal RNA
Source: RNAcentral
AUCGAACGCUGGCGGAAUGCUUUACACAUGCAAGUCGAACGGCAGCAUAGGUGCUAGCACCUGAUGGCGAGUGGCGAACGGGUGAGUAAUAUAUCGGAACGUGCCCAGUCGUGGGGGAUAACGUAGUGAAAAUUACGCUAAUACCGCAUACGAUCUAAGGAUGAAAGCGGGGGAUCGCAAGACCUCGCGCGAUUGGAGCGGCCGAUAUCAGAUUAGGUAGUUGGUGAGGUAAAGGCUCACCAAGCCAACGAUCUGUAGCUGGUCUGAGAGGACGACCAGCCACACUGGAACUGAGACACGGUCCAGACUCCUACGGGAGGCAGCAGUGGGGAAUUUUGGACAAUGGACGCAAGUCUGAUCCAGCCAUUCCGCGUGCAGGACGAAGGCCUUCGGGUUGUAAACUGCUUUUGUACAGAACGAAAAGGUCUCUAUUAAUACUAGGGGCUCAUGACGGUACUGUAAGAAUAAGCACCGGCCAACUACGUGCCAGCCGCCGCCGUAA